AAAUGAAUAGACGGGGACCCGCACAAGCAGCGGAGCAUGUGGUUUAAUUCGAAGCAACGCGAAGAACCUUACCAAGGCUUGACAUCCCUCUGACAGACCCAUAACGGGGUUCUUCUUCGGACAGAGGAGACAGGUGGUGCAUGGUUGUCGUCAGCUCGUGUCGUGAGAUGUUGGGUUAAGUCCCGCAACGAGCGCAACCCUUGUCAUUAGUUGCCAUCAGGUUAAGCUGGGCACUCUAAUGAGACCGCCGGGGAUAACUCGGAGGAAGGUGGGGAUGACGUCAAAUCAUCAUGCCCCUUAUGUCUUGGGCUACACACGUGCUACAAUGGCCGGUACAGCGAGAUGCAAACCUGCGAAGGGGAGCAAAACUUCAAAACCGGUCCCAGUUCGGAUUGCAGGCUGCAACCCGCCUGCAUGAAGUCGGAGUUGCUAGUAAUCGUGAAUCAGAAUGUCACGGUGAAUGCGUUCCCGGGUCUUGUACACACCGCCCGU
This 492-nucleotide ribosomal RNA is filed under the name uncultured bacterium. RNAcentral's name for it is "bacterial SSU rRNA". It matches the Rfam family "Bacterial small subunit ribosomal RNA", at positions 903 to 1397 of the family's 1533-position model. The record is from RNAcentral.